AUGCUUUUUAUUCUGAAAGCUGUCUUUUUCCUCACUCCUUUGUAUUUUAGUUCUCUCUGCUUUUCUCCAUGCUCUGAAUGUGCUUUGUUGAUAUGCCAACAGGUUACUUGCAGCGGAGAAUCUAACAAACAGGUUUCUGGCCUUUGCAAUGGAGAGAUUGCAUUUCACCAUUUUGAGAAUCCAACAAGGGUUUCACUGAAUGGGUCGAUGAUUACCAGCGACUUUAGUGUCAUCAUCUUUGGACACAUUUCCUUUAAUGACAUGUUUGCCUGCCUGCAACUUCAUGCCAGCACUAACAUCCAGCCUCAUUUGGAAAUUGACUUCCAGCAUUCCUUGCCUCAGCUUCAAUCUCUGGGUAUUUCCAAAGAGAAUCAAAUGAAAGUGUCAGCUAUCAGAAGUGACAAAUAUAAGGGGAUGCUUGAUGUCAUCUUCGGGCCUUGCAGUUUCAAAGCUGAUGGAGAAGUGAGCCUGAAUGCAAUGACACAGAAAUAGAAUUACUUACUUUUACAAACAAGUGUGUCAGCCUAGAGGUAAGCAUCAAUUGUUUUCUGUAUGGUGUUAUAACCGUUCUAUUUCAAACUAUCAGGAAUUACAGAGAACUCUCUCCUGAUACAGGAGUAUCUUUAAUGACAGUUUUGGUCAUUAAAGUAGUUCUGGUACAGCACCGAGUGUGAGUGCUUGCAGAGGGAGUGUAUUUAAAGUUGAGAAUUUAGGGUAGUACAAUGGCAGAUGUUAUUGCUGUUGCAAUAAAAUAGUUGCUUAAUUGUAGCUUUUUAAUUAGAAUAAACUCUUGUUUUGAAAUCUAAUGAAAAUCGUGUACUUAAAAUUCUGGAGGAUUUCUUUGGGGUUAUGAACUUUUCCUUCUACAGUAUUUCUUAAAAGGAUGUUUUAGCUUUAUUUUUUUUUUUUUUUUCCAUUCUGUUUAUUUUGGGGGUAAUUUCUGAUUUCUCUGUGAAAACAGCUGUCUUGUAUGGUCCUUUCCAAAAGCAUAUCGGUUCAGAAAGAAGAAAUGCUUUCUGAUUAAUUAGUAGGACAGUUUUUUUAAUUUAUUUGCUUUAAAUAAUGUCAUCUUUUCUGUUGCAGAGAAUGGGACUGCCACAUGCUGUAGCCUUUGGGGGCUCAUUUCAAAAGAACACCUGCAAUAUUGACUUGUUGAUGAACCUCCAGUAUGAUGGCAAAACAGUUGAUGUGCAGAUGGAUACUUCCUGCAAAAACAAAUAUGCCUUCCAAGGGAUGCUCAGGCUUUCAGUUCCCUGGACGAGUCAACUUGGGCUGCCUUUUGAAAACUCUGUCCUGUUCUCUGCUUCCACAGAGUCCACCACUGGGGGCAUUUUGUUGCUGCAGGCUGGCAAAUGCAAACUUAAGGCUAGAGGAGAUCUCUGUAUACAGAAUAAAGCUGAAUGGACACUGGAAACAGAAUGUCAGCUUCUGCAGGUAGCUCUUGGAGGCUUUUAACAAGAGACUUGGGAUCAAAUGAGGGCCACAUAGAGAUUUAGCUAAAACAACAGUGAAUGUUGGAAAACUACUUUAAAGACAUAUCUGUCUUACUGCAUUAGGCAAAAAGGUAUCUAAGGGAUCCUGUUGUUUGUAGCUGUUCUCUGUAAGCUAAGAUUAUUUCAGUGUCUUUAUUGCUUGUUGUCCUGGCAGGCUGAACAGCAAUUUUAGUUUGAACCAUUUGUCAGAGAAAUGCUUUCUCUAUUCUCUCUUUUUUUAUCAUAGUAGAAGUUGUGAAAUUUCCUUGGUUUUCAUAUCCAGCAUCACUGACUGAAUUAGGAAGAAAGACUAUUGUGAGAUUGGGGGUUAUUUCCAGAUGUUCAUAGGCAUUUAUGUUUUGCUUUUAGCUCCCCAGUUUUAACUUUCUCAGCUGCAAAGUAGCAAGAUUAAAAUAAAAAUGAUGGGAAUGUGUUUAUCAUAGUAUUUUCAUAGUCAUGAAGAGGGAAUAUAAACCACUUAAAAUAUUAAAAACAGUAGAGUUUUCAGUAUCUUUGCAAAUAUUUCAGAAAAAUGAGAUGAAAUGUUUCAUUUGGGAUGUUACAUAGGACAAACCUGAAGCUUUAGUAUCAAAAAAUAAAACAAAAUCUUGGAAUGCCAGAUGCAAGAAUAUAUUUUAGGCCUAUUAUUUUGUGGGUGUUAAUGUGUUCUGAAAAUUGAGAUUGGUCUGGUCUGAAUGAAGCAGAGGAUGGUCAAUAAACCUUGCUACUCUGAAGAAAGUGGCAUUUUGCAUUUUUGUAAAUGUGUAAAAUUUUGUAUAAAGAAAGAAUUUGUAAAUUUUGCAGGGCAGUCCAAAAUCUUCCCUCAGACUUUAUUCAGGCCAAAUAGUCACCUUAUCAUUGGGAGUGAGAAAAGCAGGAGUGCAGGGAUUGCAGGCUUUGUCUCUGAUUUUGUAGCAUAAGAUCUCCUUCCUUUUGUGCUGUAGGGAAAAGAAAAAUUAAUCAAAAUUUACUCAUCUCAAUGUGUAUGUAUAAUCAAGGGGAUUUUUUUUUAUUUUUUUAUUUUUAUUUUUU
Molecule: long non-coding RNA, 2504 nt
Filed under: Anas platyrhynchos (mallard)
Lineage: Eukaryota; Metazoa; Chordata; Aves; Anseriformes; Anatidae
Description: lncRNA (ENSAPLG00020011287.1)
Source: RNAcentral